RNAcentral lists this ribosomal RNA (92 nucleotides) under Vibrio cholerae. RNAcentral also lists the same sequence under 3 other names. The record is from RNAcentral. Lineage: Bacteria; Pseudomonadati; Pseudomonadota; Gammaproteobacteria; Vibrionales; Vibrionaceae.
CCACCUGAUUCCAUCCCGAACUCAGAAGUGAAACGAAACAGCGUCGAUGGUAGUGUGGGGUCUCCCCAUGUGAGAGUAGAACAUCGCCAGGC